Molecule: long non-coding RNA, 1101 nt
Organism: Dreissena polymorpha
Lineage: Eukaryota; Metazoa; Mollusca; Bivalvia; Myida; Dreissenidae
Exons: 5
Source: RefSeq, a predicted model, not a curated record
AAGCCUCAAGAGGGACAUGUUUCAAGUAAGCAUGCACUGUUGAAGAUGUUAAGAGAGAUAUGACUCAGGAAAGUCUGCGUUAUGGACAACUUCAGGAGGGACCUCACUCUGGUUACUGGUAAGAGUGUACCAACACAACCUCAAGUGGGACAUGACAAAGGUAAGCCUGCACCAUGGACAACCUCAAGAGGUACAUGACUAAGGUAAGCCUGCAACGUGGCCAACCUCAAGAGAGACAUGACUAAGGUAAGCCUGCACCAUGGACAACCUCAAGAGAGACAUGACUAAGGUAAGCCUGCACCAUGGACAACCUCAAGAGAGACAUGACUAAGGUAAGCCUGCACCAUGGACAACCACAAGAGAGACAUGACUAAGGUAAGCCUGCACCAUGGACCACCUCAAGAGAGACAUGACUAAGGUAAGCCUGCACCAUGGACAACCUCAAGAGGUACAUGAGUAAGGUAAGCCUGCACCAUGGACAACCUCAAGAGAGACAUGACUAAGGUAAGCCUGCACCAUGGACAACCUCAAGAGGUACAUGACUAAGGUAAGCCUGCACCAUGGACAGCCUCAAGAGAGACAUGACUAAGGUAAGCCUGCACCAUGGACAACUACAAGAGAGACAUGACUAAGGUAAGCCUGCACCAUGGACAGCCUCAAGAGGGACAUGACUAAGGUAGGCCUGCACCAUGGACAACCACAAGAGAGACAUGACUAAGGUAAGCCUGCACCAUGGACAGCCUCAAGAGAGGCAUGACUAAGGUAAGCCUGCACCAUGGACAACCUCAAGAGAUACAUGACUAAGGUAAGGCUGCACCAUGGAGAUCCUCAAGAGAGACAUGACUAAGGUAAGCCUGCACCAUGGACAACCUCAACAGAGACAUGACAAACGUUAGCUUUUAUAGUGGAAAACAUCAACAAAGGCAUGGCUCAUGUCAACCUGCGCCAUGAGCACCUCAAGGGGGACAUGACUCAAGUAAGCAGAACCUGGCUUUCACUAUUAUUUUUGUUCAUGUUGUGUUUUAAUCAAGUUUUUGUACUUGUAUUUAAGGCAAAUGGGUCACUUGCUGUAAAUAAAUACAGCCAUGCACUACUGUCCGG